GAUGAACGCUGGCGGCGUGCCUAAUACAUGCAAGUCGAGCGAACAGACGAGGAGCUUGCUCCUCUGACGUUAGCGGCGGACGGGUGAGUAACACGUGGAUAACCUACCUAUAAGACUGGGAUAACUUCGGGAAACCGGAGCUAAUACCGGAUAAUAUAUUGAACCGCAUGGUUCAAUAGUGAAAGACGGUGUUGCUGUCACUUAUAGAUGGAUCCGCGCCGCAUUAGCUAGUUGGUAAGGUAACGGCUUACCAAGGCAACGAUGCGUAGCCGACCUGAGAGGGUGAUCGGCCACCCUGGAACUGAGACACGGUCCAGACUCCUACGGGAGGCAGCAGUAGGGAAUCUUCCGCAAUGGGCGAAAGCCUGACGGAGCAACGCCGCGUGAGUGAUGAAGGUCUUCGGAUCGUAAAACUCUGUUAUUAGGGAAGAACAAAUGUGUAAGUAACUAUGCACGUCUUGACGGUACCUAAUCAGAAAGCCACGGCUAACUACGUG
RNAcentral lists this ribosomal RNA (497 nucleotides) under uncultured bacterium. Its description in RNAcentral is "partial 16S ribosomal RNA". It matches the Rfam family "Bacterial small subunit ribosomal RNA", at positions 28 to 507 of the family's 1533-position model. The record is from RNAcentral.